Molecule: long non-coding RNA, 364 nt
Organism: Alosa sapidissima (American shad)
Lineage: Eukaryota; Metazoa; Chordata; Actinopteri; Clupeiformes; Clupeidae
Exons: 4
Source: RefSeq, a predicted model, not a curated record
UAGGUACGCACUUGACGCAAACGUCGCUCUGACGUCAGGUAAGCUAAAUCCACGCACGAGUGUCGCUGUCACUAACGUUCUUGUUUCCUGAGGUGAAAAUGGUUCCUCCUGUCCAGGUAUCUGCUCUGAUCAAGACUGCUAGGUGGUCUGCCUUGCUGGUCGGAAUGGUAUACGGUAAACAGCGAUAUGAUUACCUGAAGCCCAUUGCUGCAGAGGAGAGGAGGGUGGAAGAGGCCGAAAAGAAGUAUAGAGAGGAACAAGAGCGCAUUUACAAACAGCUUGCUGAAGCCAACGAGGACACCAUUCUGAAAUGAGUCAUCCUUGCACUAAACCUUUUUUAAGUUAAUAAACAUCCCAACAAAUA